AGUGUAGUGAUGAUAUCCCAUGCGUGUCAUCUGAUGCCCACGUCUCUCUCUGCCCUUGGCCUGCGCAGCCUGCGUCCUGCGGGUUGGGUUUGGCUAGAGCAGAGGAGUCUGGGAAAUGAUCUGACUGUCUAUCUGAAUACU
Small nucleolar RNA from Xenopus tropicalis (tropical clawed frog), 141 nucleotides. Ensembl annotates it as small nucleolar RNA, C/D box 10. Its record names the gene SNORD10. NCBI's taxonomy places the organism in Eukaryota, Metazoa, Chordata, Amphibia, Anura, Pipidae. The record is from Ensembl.